This is a long non-coding RNA of Gossypium raimondii (Peruvian cotton), 547 nucleotides long. RefSeq lists it as uncharacterized. NCBI's taxonomy places the organism in Eukaryota, Viridiplantae, Streptophyta, Magnoliopsida, Malvales, Malvaceae. The record is from RefSeq and is a predicted model, not a curated record. The transcript has 2 exons.
UUCUCAAUUUAUAUAUCUAUAUAUAAGAGAGUACUGAAAAAUUAGUAGCGGGAAAGUGAGUAUCGAAAAGAAAGAAUGGGAGGGAGAAAUUAAAAUGUUUUAAACUGUAAUUAUUUUCUGUUCUUUUUUUCUUCUCCAUCUCUCUCUUUCUCUUUUUUUUUUUACAGUUGAUUUACAAAAUCUUCUUCCGUUGCUAAUUUCUUUGUCUAGGGUUUUGUUCGUUAGUUUUUUUUUAUUCUUUUUAGACUCAAAUUCUUUGAAAUUAUGAGGAGAAAUGUGAAGAAAAAAAAACAAACAGAUAAGGGUGAUGCAUCUGCUGAACCGGUUCGAACCAAGGUGGCGGGAGAGGCCCGAGAUGAGUCGGCGGAUGUUGAGUCGAAUCAACCGAAUCGAGAAGAGGAUGCGACAGAUAGGAGGGUUCUUCGCUCCAAAUACCUUGCCAUGAUGACCAAAAUAAGCGCUUCUUGUACGGAUAUGAACAAGUCUUUAGCUGAUGGGAUGUUGGAUGUACCUUGCUUAGAAGAAAAAAAAGAAAAAAAAGGAGAAA